AAGGAUCAUUAAAAGAUACAUGGUUUUGCAUCACGCAAGCACUGUAUGUAACCCACACUGAGUACCUCUGCCUGUUGCUUCCAUGGGGCCCGACUCCAGUCGCUCUGGGGAUUGUUCAAUCCCGAGGGAGUCCCCAUGGGAGGUAACCUCUUAAUAUCUUGAACUACAAUGCCUUCUGUCUGAUUAUGUUUAAAACAAAUGUUAAAACUUUCAACAACGGAUCUCUUGGUUCUC
This 234-nucleotide unclassified non-coding RNA is filed under the name uncultured fungus. RNAcentral's name for it is "partial contains 18S rRNA, ITS1, 5.8S rRNA, ITS2 and 28S rRNA". The record is from RNAcentral. Lineage: Eukaryota; Fungi.